UACGGAGGGUGCAAGCGUUAAUCGGAAUUACUGGGCGUAAAGGGUGCGUAGGCGGUCCCAUAAGUCAGUGGUGAAAUCCUCUAGCUCAACUAGAGAUGUGCCAUUGAUACUGCGGGACUUGAGUGAAGUCGAAGUAGGCGGAAUUGACGGUGUAGCGGUGAAAUGCUUAGAUAUCGUCAAGAACACCGAUAGUGAAGACAGCUUACUAGGCUUAUACUGACGCUGAGGCACGAAAAGUGUGGGGAUCAAACAGG
Molecule: ribosomal RNA, 254 nt
Filed under: uncultured bacterium
Lineage: Bacteria
Description: partial 16S ribosomal RNA
Rfam family: Bacterial small subunit ribosomal RNA
Source: RNAcentral